This 301-nucleotide ribosomal RNA is filed under the name uncultured bacterium. RNAcentral's name for it is "partial 16S ribosomal RNA". It matches the Rfam family "Bacterial small subunit ribosomal RNA", at positions 509 to 807 of the family's 1533-position model. The record is from RNAcentral.
CAGUAGCCGCGGUAAUACGUAGGGUGCGAGCGUUAAUCGGAAUUACUGGGCGUAAAGCGUGCGCAGGCGGUUUUGUAAGACAGGCGUGAAAUCCCCGGGCUCAACCUGGGAAUGGCGCUUGUGACUGCAAAGCUAGAGUGCGGCAGAGGGGGAUGGAAUUCCGCGUGUAGCAGUGAAAUGCGUAGAUAUGCGGAGGAACACCGAUGGCGAAGGCAAUCCCCUGGGCCUGCACUGACGCUCAUGCACGAAAGCGUGGGGAGCAAACAGAAUUAGAUACCCCUGUAGUCCCUGUCUCUUAUAC